RNAcentral lists this ribosomal RNA (576 nucleotides) under uncultured Vibrio sp. Its description in RNAcentral is "bacterial SSU rRNA". It matches the Rfam family "Bacterial small subunit ribosomal RNA", at positions 162 to 733 of the family's 1533-position model. Lineage: Bacteria; Pseudomonadati; Pseudomonadota; Gammaproteobacteria; Vibrionales; Vibrionaceae. The record is from RNAcentral.
GCUAAUACCGCAUAACGCCUACGGGCCAAAGAGGGGGACCUUCGGGCCUCUCACGUCAAGAUAUGCCUAGGUGGGAUUAGCUAGUUGGUGAGGUAAUGGCUCACCAAGGCGACGAUCCCUAGCUGGUCUGAGAGGAUGAUCAGCCACACUGGAACUGAGACACGGUCCAGACUCCUACGGGAGGCAGCAGUGGGGAAUAUUGCACAAUGGGCGAAAGCCUGAUGCAGCCAUGCCGCGUGUAUGAAGAAGGCCUUCGGGUUGUAAAGUACUUUCAGUUGUGAGGAAGGGGGUGUCGUUAAUAGCGGCAUCUCUUGACGUUAGCAACAGAAGAAGCACCGGCUAACUCCGUGCCAGCAGCCGCGGUAAUACGGAGGGUGCGAGCGUUAAUCGGAAUUACUGGGCGUAAAGCGCAUGCAGGUGGUUCAUUAAGUCAGAUGUGAAAGCCCGGGGCUCAACCUCGGAACUGCAUUUGAAACUGGUGAACUAGAGUACUGUAGAGGGGGGUAGAAUUUCAGGUGUAGCGGUGAAAUGCGUAGAGAUCUGAAGGAAUACCAGUGGCGAAGGCGGCCCCCUGGA